RNAcentral lists this transfer RNA (73 nucleotides) under Planctomycetaceae bacterium. RNAcentral's name for it is "tRNA-Lys". It matches the Rfam family "tRNA". Rfam says of the family: Transfer RNA (tRNA) molecules are approximately 80 nucleotides in length. Their secondary structure includes four short double-helical elements and three loops (D, anti-codon, and T loops). Further hydrogen bonds mediate the characteristic L-shaped molecular structure. tRNAs have two regions of fundamental functional importance: the anti-codon, which is responsible for specific mRNA codon recognition, and the 3' end, to which the tRNAs corresponding amino acid is attached (by aminoacyl-tRNA synthetases). tRNAs cope with the degeneracy of the genetic code in two manners: having more than one tRNA (with a specific anti-codon) for a particular amino acid; and 'wobble' base-pairing, i.e. permitting non-standard base-pairing at the 3rd anti-codon position. The record is from RNAcentral. Lineage: Bacteria; Pseudomonadati; Planctomycetota; Planctomycetia; Planctomycetales; Planctomycetaceae.
GCCCUCUUAGCUCAGUCGGUAGAGCAACGGACUCUUAAUCCGUGUGUCGAAGGUUCGAGACCUUCAGGGGGUA